GGAACGCGAUGAACCUUACCAGGUCUUGACAUCUUUUGAUCACCUGAGAGAUCAGGUUUCCCUUUCGGGGGCAAAAUGACAGGUGGUGCAUGGUUGUCGUCAGCUCGUGUCGUGAGAUGUUGGGUUAAGUCCCGCAACGAGCGCAACCCUUAUGACUAGUUGCCAGCAUUUAGUUGGGCACUCUAGUAAGACUGCCGGUGACAAACCGGAGGAAGGUGGGGAUGACGUCAAAUCAUCAUGCCUCUUAUGACCUGGGCUACACACGUGCUACAAUGGACGAUACAACGAGUCGCGAAACCGCGAGGUCAAGCUAAUCUCUUAAAGCCGUUCUCAGUUCGGAUUGUAGGCUGCAACUCGCCUACAUGAAGUUGGAAUCG
This 377-nucleotide ribosomal RNA is filed under the name uncultured bacterium. RNAcentral's name for it is "bacterial SSU rRNA". It matches the Rfam family "Bacterial small subunit ribosomal RNA", at positions 956 to 1334 of the family's 1533-position model. The record is from RNAcentral.